GUAGGUGGCAAGCGUUGUCCGGAAUUAUUGGGCGUAAAGCGCGCGCAGGCGGUCCUUUAAGUCUGAUGUGAAAGCCCACGGCUCAACCGUGGAGGGUCAUUGGAAACUGGGGGACUUGAGUACAGAAGAGGAAAGCGGAAUUCCACGUGUAGCGGUGAAAUGCGUAGAGAUGUGGAGGAACACCAGUGGCGAAGGCGGCUUUCUGGUCUGUAACUGACGCUGAGGCGCGAAAGCGCGGGGAGCAAACAGGGAUUAGAUACCCUGGUAGUCCACGCCGUAAACGAUGAGUGCUAAGUGUUAGGGGGUUUCCGCCCCCUUAGUGCUGCAGCUAACGCAUUAAGCACUCCGCCUGGGGAGUACGGCCGCAAGGCUG
RNAcentral lists this ribosomal RNA (373 nucleotides) under uncultured organism. RNAcentral's name for it is "partial 16S ribosomal RNA". It matches the Rfam family "Bacterial small subunit ribosomal RNA", at positions 527 to 896 of the family's 1533-position model. The record is from RNAcentral.